UUCCUUCAGGUGGGGAAUAACCCAGUGAGAAGUGGGCUUAUUACCGCAUAACAUGACUGAUGGCACGAUGCUGUUGUCUUCAAAGGCGCAAGUCGCCAGCAAAGAGGGAUCCGCGGCCGAUUAGCUUGUUGGCGGGGUAAUGGCUCACCAAUGGCAUUGAUCGGUAGCCGGACUGAGAGGUUGGCCGGCCACACUGGAACUGAGACAGGUCCAGAUUCAUACGGGAGGCAGCAGUGGGGAAUCUUGCACAAUGGACGAGAGUCUGAUGCAGCAACGCCGCGUGGGGAUGAAGCUUUUCGGAGUGUAAACCCCUUUCGACCCGGAAGAAUGCCCGCAAGGGUUUGAGCGGUACGGGUAUAAGAAGCCCCGGUUAACUACGGUGCCAGCAGCCGCGGUAAUACGUAGGGGGGCCAGCGU
Molecule: ribosomal RNA, 417 nt
Filed under: uncultured bacterium
Lineage: Bacteria
Description: bacterial SSU rRNA
Rfam family: Bacterial small subunit ribosomal RNA
Source: RNAcentral